GUAUUUAGACAUCAAGAAAAGAAUCCCUCUAUCUGUGAACCACACUUGCCAGGAAAUUAACACCAGGGGAAUACCACCACCUCAUACUAUUUCUUAGGUGUCUCAGAGUUUGAUGAGGACUUCCAUGCUGUGUCUCUUCGACAGGCAGCAAAAUUGGGCAAUUGACUACAUCAACUCCAACAAAUUUAUGCAGCCACCUUCCUCCGGACCAUCCUGUUUCUUCGCGCUUUAGUUGCCCCUAUUUCCCAUUAUCUUGUUUGACGCCAAGGAGCCCAAGCCCAGAAACAAUGGCAUUCUUUGGUAUCAACCACCUGGAGACUUUGGUAUCAAGCCUGUUGUGCAAGGCUUCUUCAAAAGGUCAUCCGUUGAUCUUUCUCCUAAUUAGACAUUCAAAACCCUGCAUGGAAUCCAUUUGAGAAGUUGGACAAUAGACAAAGUCCAACACAUAUAGACAGUAAAGAAGAAUUCAGACCGCACUCACUGUGGCUGAACAAAUGGGCCUAUUAAGCCUAUUAAAAGUUGGAACCAUAUUCACCACUCGCAUUUCCUUAGAGAACUAUAUCAGAAUUCUGUAAAUUGAAAACUAUUCUUACAUAUUUAACUGUAAAACAAGAGAAAUUAUACUUCCGUAGCAAAGUCUCACUAUUGGUAAGUAUCUGGACUUGGAAAGGAUGCUAGUUGAUCAAGUAAAGGAAAAUUGACAUCAGACUUUGAUGUGAUAGAUAUAUACACUUCAAUAGGAACCACAUUAACAACUUAUGAGACAAACAAACAAAUUCCCCAGUCAAAGUUCAACAAACAAAACAUUAAAACAAGAGUAGGUUGGUCUAUCAAUGUAUAUAUAGAGAUGUCGAUCAAUUGACAAAUACAUCAAGAGUAGGUUGGUCUAUCAAUGUAUAUAUAGAGAUGUCGAUCAAUUGACAAAUACAUCAAGAGUAGGUUGGUCUAUCAAUGUAUAUAUAGAGAUGUCGAUCAAUUGACAAAUACAUCAAGAGUAGGUUGGUCUAUCAAUGUAUAUAUAGAGAUGUCGAUCAAUUGACAAAUACAUCAAGAGUAGGUUGGUCUAUCAAUGUAUAUAUAGAGAUGUCGAUCAAUUGACAAAUACAUCAAGAGUAGGUUGGUCUAUCAAUGUAUAUAUAGAGAUGGCGAAGAAUCUUGCAUCUUAUCAAGUGGGGAAAGCCUUCGCAACAAAGAUGCUGCUUGCUUUCAAGCAAUAAUAAUUUUCCAAUUCCAUAAGGUAGCUUAAUGCCUUUUAAGAAUAUCUGCACCAGCCUAACAAUUAAUCAUGGAAAUUCAAUUUGCAUUUAUCACCUUUAAUUUGCUCAUCUUUGUCUCGAGUAUUGUUUUUGCGUUAACUUAACUAGCUUGCAAACCACCUGCAAAUGGUUUUAAAUAAUGUGUGAGAUUGUGAGGUCGAACGAAUUAAUCAAAUAUGAUGACAGGAGAAACAAAAUUGAAAUAACCACAAGUAGAAGUAUACUUUUGUUAUAUUUAUAGCAUCUUCUACUGUCUUCUUUUCCUUUAGCUCUGUUUCUGUGUUUGCUCAAUCGCGAUGCCUCAAUCUUUUGCAGCCAUAUGCAGACUUGAAACACCGGGGUGUCCCUAAGGAACUUGAAAAUUAGAAAAGUUUCAGUAUGAGUGACUAAAUAUGAUAAUCGAAACUAAUUUAAUAUACACACCUUGUAAAUCUGAAACUAAAUUACUCAAAUGUAUAUGCCUCUUGGCAGCAAUUGCUCGUGGUGGAAAGUUUACUGCAAAGACUUCCUCAAACCUGUGAAGCUCACACACUUCCUGGCAACAAAGAAACAGAGUCAAUAUACGAAGAUGAUUUUACUAACAAGUGAGAGCUUGCAAAUAUUGGAAGGAUAACGAUUACUCAUAACCCAAAUACCCAAUACCUUCUAAUAUCUCACUCACGUGAGUUCAAGCUCCCAAAAUUCAUUACAGUGAAACUCUCACAACAUAAUUGUCUUCAAAUAUUCUCUACUCAACGAAUUAAUUAAAUAUGAUGACAGGAGAAACAAAAUUAAAAUAACCACAAGAAGUAGAAAUAUACUUUUGUUAUAUUCAGAGCAUCUCCUACUGUCUUCAUUUCCCUUAGCUCUGUUUCCUUUUGUGCUCGAACGCAAUGCCUCAAGGCUCAAGAUAAUUUGAUGACCAUCAAUCUUUUUGCAGCCACAUGUAGACUUGAAAAACUGUUGGCGGCCCUAAAGAACUUGAAAAUUAGAAAAGAUUCAGAAUGAGUGACUAAAUAUUAUAAUCGAAACUAAUUAAACAAACGCGCCUUGAAAAUCUGAAACUGAAUUACUCAAAUGUAUAUGCCCCUUCACAGCAAUUGCACGUGGUGGAUGUU
RNAcentral lists this long non-coding RNA (2353 nucleotides) under Citrus sinensis (sweet orange). Its description in RNAcentral is "long non-coding RNA (CSIN_LNC005250)". Lineage: Eukaryota; Viridiplantae; Streptophyta; Magnoliopsida; Sapindales; Rutaceae. The record is from RNAcentral.